AGUGAACGCUGGCGGUAGGCCUAACACAUGCAAGUCGAACGGCAGCACAGUAAGAGCUUGCUCUUACGGGUGGCGAGUGGCGGACGGGUGAGGAAUACAUCGGAAUCUACUUUUUCGUGGGGGAUAACGUAGGGAAACUUACGCUAAUACCGCAUACGACCUACGGGUGAAAGCAGGGGAUCUUCGGACCUUGCGCGAUUGAAUGAGCCGAUGUCGGAUUAGCUAGUUGGCGGGGUAAAGGCCCACCAAGGCGACGAUCCGUAGCUGGUCUGAGAGGAUGAUCAGCCACACUAGAACUGAGACACGGUCCAGACUCCUACGGGAGGAAGCAGUGGGGAAUAUUGGACAAUGGGGGCAAGCCUGAUCCAGCCAUACCGCGUGGGUGAAGAAGGCCUUCGGGUUGUAAAGCCCUUUUGUUGGGAAAGAAAAGCAGCAGGUUAAUACCCCGCUGUUCUGACGGUACCCAAAGAAUAAGCACCGGCUAACUUCGUG
Molecule: ribosomal RNA, 492 nt
Filed under: uncultured bacterium
Lineage: Bacteria
Description: partial 16S ribosomal RNA
Rfam family: Bacterial small subunit ribosomal RNA
Source: RNAcentral